This 253-nucleotide ribosomal RNA is filed under the name uncultured bacterium. RNAcentral describes it as "partial 16S ribosomal RNA". It matches the Rfam family "Bacterial small subunit ribosomal RNA", at positions 524 to 776 of the family's 1533-position model. The record is from RNAcentral.
GACGGAGGGGGCUAGCGUUGUUCGGAAUGACUGGGCGUAAAGGGCGCGUAGGCGGCAGUUCAAGUCCGGGGUGAAAUCCUCCAGCUCAACUGGAGAAGUGCCUUGGAUACUGGAUUGCUCGAGGAAGGUAGGGGCCCGCGGAACUUCUGGUGGAGCGGUGAAAUGCGUUGAUAUCAGAAGGAACGCCGGUGGCGAAAGCGGCGGGCUGGAUCUCUACUGACGCUGAGGCGCGAAAGCUAGGGGAGCAAACGGG